CCCAGAGCGUGUGCUUUGAGUUGUAGUCUCCCGCUGCGAUGUACUUGUCCCCUAGGCAGAACACUGGAAAAAUACAUUAGAAAUAAUAACCUCAAUAUAUUGUGCACAGGAACACCGACACAUUGGCCGACUGACCUGAACAAAAAAACCAGAUCUUCUGGACUUUGCAGUUACAAGGGGACUAAACACAAAUAAACUAAAAAUAACACCCAACCUCGAGCUUAGCUCCGAUCAUACACCCAUAAUAAUUGAAUACAUAAACAAACCAAUACCUUAU
RNAcentral lists this unclassified non-coding RNA (277 nucleotides) under Bombus terrestris (buff-tailed bumblebee). Its description in RNAcentral is "misc RNA ENSBTSG00005032482.1". Lineage: Eukaryota; Metazoa; Arthropoda; Insecta; Hymenoptera; Apidae. The record is from RNAcentral.